This 484-nucleotide ribosomal RNA is filed under the name uncultured bacterium. RNAcentral's name for it is "partial 16S ribosomal RNA". It matches the Rfam family "Bacterial small subunit ribosomal RNA", at positions 30 to 507 of the family's 1533-position model. The record is from RNAcentral.
AUUGAACGCUGGCGGCAUGCCUAACACAUGCAAGUCGAGCGGAUAAAGGGAGCUUGCUCCUGGCUUCAGCGGCGGACGGGCGAGUAAUGCCUAGGAAUCUGCCUGGUAGUGGGGGAUAACGUCCGGAAACGAGCGCUAAUACCGCACACGUCCUGAGUGAGAAAGUGGGGGAUCAUCGGACCUCACGCUAUCAGCUGACCCUAGGUCGGAUUAGCUAGUUGGUGGGGUAAAGGCCUACCAAGGCAACGAUCCGUAGCUGGUCUGAGAGGAUGAUCAGUCACACUGGAACUGAGACACGGUCCAGACUCCUACGGGAGGCAGCAGUGGGGAAUAUUGGACAAUGGGCGAAAGCCUGAUCCAGCAAUGCCGCGUGUGUGAAGAAGGUCUUCGGAUUGUAAAGCGCUUUUAGUUGGGAGGAAGCGCAGUAAGUUAAUACCUGGCUGUUUUGACGGUACCGAAAGAAUAAGCACCGGCUAACUACGUG